Molecule: ribosomal RNA, 257 nt
Filed under: uncultured bacterium
Lineage: Bacteria
Description: partial 16S ribosomal RNA
Rfam family: Bacterial small subunit ribosomal RNA
Source: RNAcentral
UACGUAGGGGGCGAGCGUUGUCCGGAAUUAUUGGGCGUAAAGAGCUCGUAGGCGGUGUGUCGCGUCGGCCGUGAAAACCUGGGGCUUAACUCUGGGCUUGCGGUCGAUACGGGCAUCACUGGAGUUCGGCAGGGGAGACUGGAAUUCCUGGUGUAGCGGUGAAAUGCGCAGAUAUCAGGAGGAACACCGGUGGCGAAGGCGGGUCUCUGGGCCGAUACUGACGCUGAGGAGCGAAAAGCGUGGGGGAGCGAAACAGG